GAUCAUGGCUCAGGAUGAACGCUAGCUACAGGCUUAACACAUGCAAGUCGAGGGGAAACGACAUCGAAAGCUUGCUUUCGAUGGGCGUCGACCGGCGCACGGGUGAGUAACGCGUAUCCAACCUGCCCACCACUUGGGGAUAACCUUGCGAAAGUAAGAUUAAUACCCAAUGAUAUCUCUAGAAGACAUCUGAAAGAGAUUAAAGAUUUAUCGGUGAUGGAUGGGGAUGCGUCUGAUUAGCUUGUUGGCGGGGUAACGGCCCACCAAGGCGACGAUCAGUAGGGGUUCUGAGAGGAAGGUCCCCCCACAUUGGAACUGAGACACGGUCCAAACUCCUACGGGAGGCAGCAGUGAGGAAUAUUGGUCAAUGGGCGAGAGCCUGAACCAGCCAAGUAGCGUGCAGGAUGACGGCCCUAUGGGUUGUAAACUGCUUUUAUGCGGGGAUAAAGUGAGGGACGUGUCCCUUUUUGUAGGUACCGCAUGAAUAAGGACCGGCUAAUUCCGUG
This 506-nucleotide ribosomal RNA is filed under the name uncultured bacterium. RNAcentral describes it as "bacterial SSU rRNA". It matches the Rfam family "Bacterial small subunit ribosomal RNA", at positions 15 to 507 of the family's 1533-position model. The record is from RNAcentral.